RNAcentral lists this ribosomal RNA (531 nucleotides) under uncultured bacterium. RNAcentral's name for it is "partial 16S ribosomal RNA". It matches the Rfam family "Bacterial small subunit ribosomal RNA", at positions 355 to 903 of the family's 1533-position model. The record is from RNAcentral.
UGGGGAAUAUUGCACAAUGGGCGAAAGCCUGAUGCAGCAACGCCGCGUGAGUGAUGAAGGUCUUCGGAUUGUAAAGCCCUGUCUUUUGGGACGAUAAUGACGGUACCAAAGGAGGAAGCCACGGCUAACUACGUGCCAGCAGCCGCGGUAAUACGUAGGUGGCGAGCGUUGUCCGGAUUUACUGGGCGUAAAGGGUGCGUAGGCGGAUGUUUAAGUGAGAUGUGAAAUACCCGGGCUUAACUUGGGUGCUGCAUUUCAAACUGGAUAUCUAGAGUGCAGGAGAGGAGAAUGGAAUUCCUAGUGUAGCGGUGAAAUGCGUAGAGAUUAGGAAGACACCAGUGGCGAAGGCGAUUCUCUGGACUGUAACUGACGCUGAGGCACGAAAGCGUGGGUAGCAAACAGGAUUAGAUACCCUGGUAGUCCACGCCGUAAACGAUGAGUACUAGGUGUAGGAGGUAUCGACCCCUUCUGUGCCGCAGUAAACACAUUAAGUACUCCGCCUGGGAAGUACGAUCGCAAGAUUAAAACUCU